CAUGUUGGUUGGUUAGGCUUCAGGGAGACACACAUCUGGAUUCGAAUCCAGGCUUAGGCAAAUUACUUAAUAUCUCUAGACCUCAGUUUUUGCUUUGUUUUCAUCUGCAAAGCAAAAAUGGUGUUGCAUAUAAUUUGGCUGUGAGGACUCAGUGAGAUACUACAGGUAGAUGGCCAAGCACAAAGUCUGUCCCAAGCUAAGCAAGAGAGAUGUGAUCUUGCCUAUUUUUAUUUUUAUUACCAAAGGUCAGAGCCAAGCUUGGCUAGUGUCUGUCUCAUUCUAAGCCCAUGUUCUNAACCUUUGAGCUUGAGGCUCAGCAAAGUUCAGUCACUUGUUCUAGAUCACUUAGUGUGGCAGAGCAAGGAGCCUAGCUGAGUUAGCUUCCAUGCCUCUGAUCUGCACCCUGCAUUGCUACCUCCCUCUAUAAUGCUCUAUCAGGCCCACAGAACAAAUGAGACAUGGCUUGGGCCUUGGGGAUUUUAUUAUCUAGCUGGAAGGCUUAACUAUGUACCCAACAGAGACAGCUAAGAAAUGUGCUUGGAGCUAGGAAUUCAAGGUUCUGGAAGGAAGGGAAGGUCCUCAUGGAGGAGGCAGGAGAUGGGCUGGUCUUGAAAGAUGGGCAGGAAUGGCUGGUGGGGAGAGAAGGGGAGAAUGAGCAACCCCAGAAAGGAUCAUGAAGUGCCACACAGUGGUGCAAAGUGGGAGUAUGUGUCACUUCACGCAACAAGUAAUUGCUUGGGAUCUGGCAUCUUCCAUUUAAAAAGGUGAUGAAGAGAAAAACCAGAGGCUUUGCAGUGGAAGGAGAUACUGGCUUCCUGGUGGACGGUAUUUCUGAACAUGCAGUCUGGAGGUGAGAGGCUGGAGAGAUGGUAUCCAGUAAGGACCUGGUUUACAACAGAGCCUUGGGAAAUGAUGGUGAUUAUUAUUAUUAAGUUGUGGUUCGGAAUAUUCGAUGUGGUCAUCACAGGGAAAACUAUAACUGCUGUUUUUGACCCAGCAGCUCUCCUUAGCCAGUGACUUCCCUUUGGCCCCCAAGCCUGCUCUCCAUCUCCACCAAGUACAAGAAGACAACUUGACCAUCGAAUAGCCCCACCAUGAACCCCUGAAGCCCCUCACUCAAGCAUCUCCCCAAAACCUCCAGCUGGUUUUCAGCCUCCAGUGGAGGAAACUGCUCUGCAGCCAUACAUCUCUCCUGCAUCCCCUGAGAUACCUGGGCCUUCCCCUAAGAACCACCAUCUAUAGCUUCUACUCUAUAAAUUAUGACUAUGUGCAAAGAAUUGUUUUAGAGACAUGCUCUGAGUUCGGAAAUCUUCUUUGGCCAACCUUCAGAUAAGGAACACUUCCAAGCAAUUUGAGGAGACAUUAAACCUAUUUUUAAGAAGCAGUUGUGGAGGGGGGCGGAUAAUACAUGUAAUACUUUGAUAUUUCCUGUUUUUAGGAGCUCGUGUUCAGCUUGCAACCCUUUUCUUUGAAAAAGCAAUUACAAAUGAUUGAAAUCCUCUGUGAGUGUUUUAGAUGUUUAAAAAGAAAGCGUGGGUGAGGCCCCUGGGAGGAGAGUGCCGCUCCAAGCUCACAACCUGUUGCGACUUUGCCCCAUUGUGUUUUGAUUAGAAUCCUUGCUCCAUCAUCAAAGUUGAUUAUGGAUUUGAUUAGUGCAUUUUUCUGCUAUUGUGUUAUUCCCUUUCUUCUCUUUCUCAUUUCUUGGAGGGGAAUGUGUAGUGUGGUUAUCUGCCAAUAUUCAAGAAUGUUUAUAACUCACAUAUUAUUGCUUAUUCCAUGGGUUAAUUUUCUAAAGACAUUUUAAGGGUGGUAUGGUUUGCUUAUUUAGGGUAUCAUUUUGUGUGUAUAUAUCUGUGUAUAAAUACAUCUACUUCUGGAUAUGUGUAUACACACACACACACACACACACACACAUACACAAAUGUAUACACAUGGAACAGCUUAGAGUGUAGAGCACAUGUAAGCACACACAUCAAAGGCAGGGCUAGAGGAGUUACAGCCCGAAUACUAGCUUUCAGAAUGGCUAGGUUUGCUUCUUCCUUCUCAUAGUCUCUUCCUCUGCAACCACGAUUUUAAGCCCCAAAUCAUGGUGUCCAUGAGGGUAGGCUUAAGAUAGGUGUUCUAAUUAGGCCUCUGCAAAUCUCCUGAAGCCAGUCUGGGGAAACCAAACCACCCAGCAAGAUUUUUAGCUUAAGGUCAGAAAUUCUUAUUUCUUAAAAUCAGCCUCAGUUACAGAACAUCUGCUAUGUGCCAGGUCAUCUGCAGGGCUCUAUAUACAUUAUAUAUACAUUAAUUAUUUAAUUUGAGACAUGAGAAACUGAGCAAAAUGCAAAAGUAGUCAUCACAAUUUAUGUGAUCAAGAGAAUCAUUACUUGAAGGCAAGUUCUCCAUGUUGGUUGGUUAGGCUUCAGGGAGACACACAUCUGGAUUCGAAUCCAGGCUUGGGCAAAUUACUUAAUAUCUCUAGACCUCAGUUUUUGCUUUGUUUUCAUCUGCAAAGCAAAAAUGGUGUUGCAUAUAACUUGGCUGUGAGGACUCAGUGAGAUACUACAGGUAGAUGGCCAAGCACAAAGUCUGUCCGGAGCUAAGCAAGAGAUAUGCGAUCUUGCCUAUUUUUAUUUUUAUUACCCAAGGUCACAGCCAAGCUUGGCUAGUGUCUGUCUCAUUCUAAGCCCAUGUUCUUUCCACCCUACCUUUCUGCCUCCCACAUGCAUGGCUGAUUACAUAGAAGGACAGAUGGCUUGCUCUGUGGAAGCUGAGAGCCUAGCAGGGCUUUGGUUAAAUGAUUGGGGAGCAAGCAUAAAUUAAGAACAAUGUCAUCCAAAGAAGUUGUAAUCCAAAGCUUUUCAUCAAAACUUCCACAUUUUGGUUUCAGACAGGCCAUCUCUAUGACGUUAAUCAAACGGAGGGAUCUGCUACAAACCACCCUUGUGGGAGGUCUCCUUUGUACAUUCAUCUCAGCUGACACUGUAGAGGUGGUUGAAUGCAGCUGCCCAAUGUGCUGGCCCAGCCCAGGACAAAACCAAGAAUGAAACGGUCCCAUUGCCUGGACUUCUUAAUGGCUCAUUAUUGUUCUGGGGGCAGAAGGAAAGCCCUUUCCUCCCGUAGCUGGCAUGGUUAUAGUGGGAGCUGGACCUUGUGAUUAGUUUGGCCAUUAAGGUGCCCCAAGGCAUGGCUAGCUGCCCAAUGGUGUUUUACCAAUUGUUACAGGGCCAGUUUCAAUAGCUACUCUGUCUUGUGGUCACAUUGUUCAAAGAGAUGGACAAUGUGUUCCUAGAAUGUCUUGACCAGAAUGGGCCAUGUGAUUUGCGGAACAAAACUUGGUCAGGCUUUUUUGCUUCAGUCUAUGCUAGACAAUAGCAAGUGACUCAAAAGUUUUCACAGGGACCCCAGGUCACCCACACAAAACCUUAAGAAUGACUCAUGACUUAGUAUCCCCUUUCCCAAGGAGAACAGAACCUCUCUUGUCUUUUGCAAACAAUGACCCCACAGCCUCAGAAUAUUUUUUCUUUCUUUUCAAGUGAAACCUUGAUAUCAUCAGUGAAUUUGGGGUUAUUUUACCUCCACCACACCCUGUCAUGCUGGGAGAGAAGACAGGGUAGAAAUGGGGGUGUUUUGGUCAGUUUUUUUUUUUUUAUUUCUACUGUGACCAAAAGACCUGAUAAGAAUAAUUAGAGGAGGAAAAGUUUAUUUGGAAGCUCACAGUUUCAGAGGUCUCUGUCCAUAGAUGGCUGACUCCAUUGCUCCGGGUCCAAAGUAUAUCAGAACAACAUGGUAGGCAAAUGUGGUAGAGGAAAGAAGCUGGGAAUCUGGUACCAGGAAGCAGAAAGAGAGCUCUGCUCACCAAGGACAAAAUAUAAAUCCCAAAGACAGGCCCCCAGAGAUCCAGCUCCUCCAGCCACACCCAACCUGCCUGCAAUUACCACCAAGUUAAUCUCUAUUAGGGAUGUAAUGCACUGAUUAGGUUAAACCUUUUACAACUCAAUCAUUUCAUCUCUAAACUUUUGCAUUGUUUCACACAUGAGCUUUUGGGGAAUACCUAAUCUAAACCAUAACAGGGUUUUGGUCAAAAUAAUUAUAAGAAACUACUUCCCAGGGUUCUUUUGGAGCCUUUGAAGAAAAUUGUCAUACACAAUAAAAUUACAAAAAUAAUUAUUAUGAUAGUUUUUGACACUGAUUGAACACAGCCUCUGUACCAGCAUAAUGCAUAGCACUCGAUAUGUGUCAUUUCAUUUAAUGCUAACAGCAUCUCAUAAGGCAGGUGUUGCUUCCUGAGGAGGACUAGGAGUCACAGCUCUGGGAGUCAGCAACUAUGGUUCUAGAUUGGUCUCUUUUGACCCUUUGCAAGGGUCACAUUGUCUUUCUGAGCUUCUGUUACCUAACUCAUAAAAAUAGAAAGGAUGUUUUACCUUCUACGAAGAGUUAUUGUGAGAGGCAAUUAUCAUAGACAAGGCACUGCCUUAAGCAUCUUACUCCUUAAAUACCCUUUGAGAAAAAUCCAGGUGCAGAGAGGUUAAGCUACUGUUCCAAGUAGCACAGCUAGGAAGUUUUGAACCCAUAUCUGUUUGACCUCCAAAGUCAAAGUUCUUAAAUAGGCAAAUGUGAAAGCAUUUUGAAAAAAAUAUCUGAAAAGGCAUCAUUACUACUGAAUCAAAGUAAAUUGUCCUGAGGCCCAUUUAGGAUCAUCACUGAGCAUAACUAGCAGGACUAGUUCUAGAGAGAAGAAGGGGAAAAAAUGAGAAAUUUGAUUUGAAAUCAUUUGUUUGCACAAGGAAGUAAUACAGAUAAGUUCCAAUUAUGGAUUAUUCUUUAAGACAGUGGGCCUGGGACCUUUAAAACUGCCAAUGUCAUGAAAGAUAAAACUAAAAGGCAGGUGAAGGACUUUUUUCAGCAAAGAGAUCAAAGAGUUAUGAUGGCCAAAUCCAAUGAGAGAUCCUUACCUAGGUCCCAGAUGAGCAAAACCAUACCUGUCACAUAGACCAUUCUGGAGACAGUUGGAGGUAUUUGAAUGUAGAAUGUAUAAUGGGUAGUAUUGUUCUAUCUAUGUCAAUGUAAGACAAUGUCAUUUUUCUUGGAAGAAAAUAUUGCUGAAAUAUUUAGAAGUGAAGUGUGUUGAUGUCAGCAGCUAGGUUUCAGACAGCUCAGGGGGAAAACGGUGAGAAUAUCUGCAGAGAGGAGAAAGCAAAUGUCAUAAAAUGUUAACAACUGGUGAAUCUAGGUGAAAAUGUGUGUGU
Molecule: long non-coding RNA, 5234 nt
Filed under: Marmota monax (woodchuck)
Lineage: Eukaryota; Metazoa; Chordata; Mammalia; Rodentia; Sciuridae
Source: RNAcentral